UGUUGAGGGGAUCUGUUUUGGUGGCCUUAGGAUCGCAUCUCUGCUUUUUGCGGAUGAUGUGGUCCUCUUGGCUUCAUCGGAACGUGAUCUGCAGCUCUAAUGUGAGC
Poecilia latipinna (sailfin molly) is the source of this 107-nucleotide long non-coding RNA. RefSeq lists it as uncharacterized. The record is from RefSeq and is a predicted model, not a curated record. The transcript is spliced from 3 exons. NCBI's taxonomy places the organism in Eukaryota, Metazoa, Chordata, Actinopteri, Cyprinodontiformes, Poeciliidae.